UACGUAGGGUGCGAGCGUUGUCCGGAAUUACUGGGCGUAAAGAGCUCGUAGGUGGUUUGUCGCGUUGUCCGUGAAAACUCACAACUCAAUUGUGGGCGUGCGGGCGAUACGGGCAGACUGGAGUACUGCAGGGGAGACUGGAAUUCCUGGUGUAGCGGUGGAAUGCGCAGAUAUCAGGAGGAACACCGGUGGCGAAGGCGGGUCUCUGGGCCGAUACUGACGCUGAGGCUCGAAAGCGUGGGGAGCAAACAGG
Molecule: ribosomal RNA, 253 nt
Filed under: uncultured bacterium
Lineage: Bacteria
Description: partial 16S ribosomal RNA
Rfam family: Bacterial small subunit ribosomal RNA
Source: RNAcentral